UACGUAGGGUGCAAGCGUUAAUCGGAAUUACUGGGCGUAAAGCGUGCGCAGGCGGUGAUGUAAGACAGUUGUGAAAUCCCCGGGCUCAACCUGGGAACUGCAUCUGUGACUGCAUCGCUGGAGUACGGUAGAGGGGGAUGGAAUUCCGCGUGUAGCAGUGAAAUGCGUAGAUAUGCGGAGGAACACCGAUGGCGAAGGCAAUCCCCUGGGCCUGCACUGACGCUCAUGCACGAAAGCGUGGGGGAGCAAACAGG
Molecule: ribosomal RNA, 254 nt
Filed under: uncultured bacterium
Lineage: Bacteria
Description: partial 16S ribosomal RNA
Rfam family: Bacterial small subunit ribosomal RNA
Source: RNAcentral